GACGUAGGGCGCGAGCGUUGUCCGGAUUUAUUGGGCGUAAAGCGCGCGUAGGCGGCUUUGUAAGUUAGAGGUGAAAGCCCGGAGCUCAACUCCGGAACUGCCUUUAAAACUGCAUCGCUUGAAUCCAGGAGAGGUGAGUGGAAUUCCGAGUGUAGAGGUGAAAUUCGUAGAUAUUCGGAAGAACACCAGUGGCGAAGGCGGCUCACUGGACUGGUAUUGACGCUGAGGUGCGAAAGCGUGGGGAGCAAACAGG
RNAcentral lists this ribosomal RNA (253 nucleotides) under uncultured bacterium. RNAcentral describes it as "partial 16S ribosomal RNA". It matches the Rfam family "Bacterial small subunit ribosomal RNA", at positions 524 to 776 of the family's 1533-position model. The record is from RNAcentral.